UGCUCCCUUCAGCAGCACAUAACUAAAAUUGGAGCCACACGGAGAAGGUUAGCACGGCCCCUGCACAAGGAUGACACACAGAUUCUGGAUGUGUUCCAUAUUUUU
Molecule: small nuclear RNA, 105 nt
Organism: Callithrix jacchus (white-tufted-ear marmoset)
Lineage: Eukaryota; Metazoa; Chordata; Mammalia; Primates; Cebidae
Source: Ensembl